UAUUUGUGUUGGUUCUGAAUAAUGGCAAUCUAAACAAUGUGCUCGGUUUUCUUAGCUAUUGGAAAAUACAGAAGCUGAACUGAUACACUGUUUAAUUUUGUUCUGUUUAUUUUUAAAAGACCUACAACUAUGUAUAUUUUGAAUGCCCAAGGUUCGAAGGAAUUUGGUUCUUCAAGAAGUGAAGAACAAAUGCUAUUCCUUCUACUUAUCACAGGGGGGAUCUAGAAGCUGGCUACAGGGCACCUACACUCAGGACCAGUUAAGGAAAUCCAUCUGCUUCCCAGAAGUAACAUUCACCUCUGCUCAGCACUCUCUGCCUGUGAGAUCAAAAUGCACCCAGAUUUAUGUUAGGCCUGCUCACAGCCUACACGGCUCACAAGCAGCACUGACUGCAGGUUGUGUUUUGAUUUUUUGUUAAUGUCAUUCCAGUCCAGGCAAUUGCUUGACAGGCAACUGUUUUUUCAGGAUGUGUUGCCAAGUUGUAAGAAAAAGACCCUGAAGAAAUGGUAAAAGCAGUUUGUUAUGCAUCAGUACCUAAUACCAUCCUUAAUUUAGGAAAGACUUGUAGCAGAUAGCAAAGCUGGAAACAACAGCAUGCGGUCAGCUACAAACAUCCUUUUUCAAUAUCUGCUUUUACUCCUUCAAACCCGUCAGUCUCUGCCUUCUCUGUUUCAUUUACAGUGGCAGUGAAAUGGAGGGAACGAGUAAGCUGUAGGCAGCUUGUUACCUUGAGUCAGCCCCUGACCUUUCCAUGGCCUACGAAUCCUACCGAGCUCUGUAGAGAAACAGCACUAUCUGGUGGAGGGAGUCUGUAAAGUCCUGUCAGGAAUGGGCUGUACACAGAGCCACUAUUGCAAAUGCUUCGAUGGUGUUCUUGCCCAAAGUUGAUAAAUAGUUCUGUGGUUUCAAGAGGAUUCUUUUUUCUACAGUCCAAAUGGAAGAGGAAUAUAUCUCGCUUAGUCUUUAUGAAACUGAUGCUUAUUUCAGUUUCUAGUGCUUUCAUGAAGAACCUUUUCACCCUUUGAGAAAUGUCAGUGUAUUUUCUGAACUUUCCAAGUACAGCAAUAUGAAAGAAUGAGAGGAGAUUUUGUUUUCUUUUAAUGCUAAAAGGAGCAUCAUUUCUUAAAGUUGUACUAAAUAGUUACAAGCAGAAUAAAAUCAGGCUUGCAUGCA
This 1173-nucleotide long non-coding RNA is filed under the name Anas platyrhynchos platyrhynchos (common mallard). RNAcentral describes it as "lncRNA (ENSAPLG00000021924.1)". The record is from RNAcentral. Lineage: Eukaryota; Metazoa; Chordata; Aves; Anseriformes; Anatidae.